Molecule: ribosomal RNA, 515 nt
Filed under: uncultured bacterium
Lineage: Bacteria
Description: partial 16S ribosomal RNA
Rfam family: Bacterial small subunit ribosomal RNA
Source: RNAcentral
GAUGAACGCUGGCGGCGUGCCUAAUACAUGCAAGUCGAGCGAAUGGAUUAAGAGCUUGCUCUUAUGAAGUUAGCGGCGGACGGGUGAGUAACACGUGGGUAACCUGCCCAUAAGACUGGGAUAACUCCGGGAAACCGAGGCUAAUACCGGAUAACAUUUUGAACCGCAUGGUUCGAAAUUGAAAGGCGGCUUCGGCUGUCACUUAUGGAUGGACCCGCGUCGCAUUAGCUAGUUGGUGAGGUAACGGCUCACCAAGGCAACGAUGCGUAGCCGACCUGAGAGGGUGAUCGGCCACACUGGGACUGAGACACGGCCCAGACUCCUACGGGAGGCAGCAGUAGGGAAUCUUCCGCAAUGGACGAAAGUCUGACGGAGCAACGCCGCGUGAGUGAGGAAGGCUUUCGGGUCGUAAAACUCUGUUGUUAGGGAAGAACAAGUGCUAGUUGAAUAAGCUGACACCUUGACGGUACCUAACCAGAAAGCCACGGCUAACUACGUGCCAGCCGCCGCGGUAA